AUCUUCGAACCAUAGAAGCUCAGGAAUGUGAGUUUGAAAGCUUUCCUCAAGGAUUCAGCGAAGUCAUCAGCUUAAAGAAAAUUAAAUCAAGGGGCCUGAAUUAUAACAAGGACCACUAUGAGAGACUCCAUAUAACAUGGCCAAACUCUAAAAUUAGUCGUGAGAAGCACGUACGGAUGAUGGAAGAAUUACCUUAUUGGAACCUCCAACAUUUGGAAAUAAAGCACUACAGAGGUGGAUCUUGUCCUAGCUGGCUCCGGAAUCUCCUGCCAAUGUUGCAUUCCAUUAUCUUCCAUGAGUGGCAUAACAUUCGGAGUAUAUCAUUCUUUGAACCACUUUGUCUUGAAGAAGUGUCAAACAUCCGUAUUAUUUUAUUACCAGUUAAUUUAGUUAGAUUAUACAUAGUAUUAUUUUAUUACAACUAACACCGUGACCUGCGCACUUUUGCGGACAAAGUCUUUAUUGUGAUAAAAAAAUUGUUUUCAAAUGAAGUUUUUAUUUCACAAUUACAUUUCAUUUUAUGCCAUUUGAAAGAAUAUAUUAUCGUGAAAGGCACUGGAAAUAUUAUGCUUUAUAAAAUCACUAUUGAGCACCUAAGAAUGCAUACAAUAUUCUACAUCAUUUUUUUUGUUAAUUAGCUGAAUACAACAAAAUAAUUAAUCUGGAUGUGAGCAUGUCGCCGAUAAGGUCGCCAAGGAGACAUGAGAUUUUAUCUUCUCUCGCCCUGAUCUUUAUCAUGCACUCAUCUUCCUCUACCGUCCAUUUUAUUUUUCCUUAUCCAUGUUAUCCCUUUUUAUUUAGCGAUGUUGACGUGAAUCAUCACAUUUUUCCAAUAGUCCCAGCCGUAGCUUGUAGAGUUCACAAGAACCAUUCUUGGAGCUACGAUCCACACCACAAUUG
This 900-nucleotide ribosomal RNA is filed under the name Triticum aestivum (bread wheat). RNAcentral's name for it is "partial small subunit ribosomal RNA". The record is from RNAcentral. Lineage: Eukaryota; Viridiplantae; Streptophyta; Magnoliopsida; Poales; Poaceae.